Molecule: ribosomal RNA, 494 nt
Filed under: uncultured bacterium
Lineage: Bacteria
Description: partial 16S ribosomal RNA
Rfam family: Bacterial small subunit ribosomal RNA
Source: RNAcentral
GACGAACGCUGGCGGCGCGCUUAACACAUGCAAGUCGAACGGAAAGGCCUGCUUUCCUUUGUGGAUUGCGGGUACUCGAGUGGCGAACGGGUGAGUAACACGUGAGUGAUCUGCCCCCAACUUGGGUAUAAGCCUGGGAAACUGGGUCUAAUUCCCGAUAGGACUGCAGGGUGGUGCCUGUGGUGGAAAACGAUUUUCUAGUGGUUGGGGAUGAGCUCGCGGCCUAUCAGCUUGUUGGUGGGGUAAUGGCCUACCAAGGCGGCGACGGGUAGCCGGCCUGAGAGGGUGGACGGCCACAUUGGGACUGAGAUACGGCCCAGACUCCUACGGGAGGCAGCAGUGGGGAAUAUUGCACAAUGGGCGGAAGCCUGAUGCAGCGACGCCGCGUGGGGGAUGACGGCCUUCGGGUGGUAAACUCCUUUCGACCGCGAGGAAGCCACCUGGUUGGAAGGGUGGUGACGGUAGUGGUAGAAGAAGCACCGGCUAACUACGUG